UCCAGACUCCUACGGGAGGCAGCAGUGGGGGAUAUUGCACAAUGGGGGGAACCCUGAUGCAGCGACGCCGCGUGGGUGAAGGAGCGUUUCGGCGCGUAAAGCCCUAUCGGCAGGGAAGAAGGAGGACGGUACCUGACUAAGAAGCCCCGGCUAACUACGUGCCAGCAGCCGCGGUAAUACGUAGGGGGCAAGCGUUAUCCGGAUUUACUGGGUGUAAAGGGGGCGCAGACGGCAGCGCAAGCCAGGAGUGAAAGCCCGGGGCCCAACCCCGGGACUGCUCUUGGAACUGCGCGGCUGGAGUGCAGGAGGGGCAGGCGGAAUUCCUGGUGUAGCGGUGAAAUGCGUAGAUAUCAGGAGGAACACCGGUGGCGAAGGCGGCCUGCUGGACUGCGACUGACGUUGAGGCCCGAAAGCGUGGGGAGCAAACAGGAUUAGAUACCCCAGUAUAU
Molecule: ribosomal RNA, 449 nt
Filed under: uncultured bacterium
Lineage: Bacteria
Description: partial 16S ribosomal RNA
Rfam family: Bacterial small subunit ribosomal RNA
Source: RNAcentral